AAUUAGACAACGGGGUGCUCGAAUGUUCGGGCUGAGAGUAAGCUACUCGCUUUAACCCAUAACCUGAUUUGGAUAAUGCCAACGUAGGGAUAUACUAGCAAUAUAUA
Molecule: non-coding RNA, 107 nt
Filed under: Veillonella montpellierensis
Lineage: Bacteria; Bacillati; Bacillota; Negativicutes; Veillonellales; Veillonellaceae
Also listed under: 1 other name
Description: TPP sequence
Rfam family: TPP riboswitch aptamer (THI element)
About the family: Vitamin B(1) in its active form thiamin pyrophosphate (TPP) is an essential coenzyme that is synthesised by coupling of pyrimidine and thiazole moieties in bacteria.
Source: RNAcentral